GCACUCUUAGUGUAGUGGUAACAUGCUCCCCUCUCUUGAUUGGGAGCGUCCGGGGUUCGAUUCCCCGAGGGUGCC
Molecule: non-coding RNA, 75 nt
Organism: Mycena maculata
Lineage: Eukaryota; Fungi; Basidiomycota; Agaricomycetes; Agaricales; Mycenaceae
Source: the annotation of a GenBank genome assembly